GACAGAGGGUGCAAACGUUGUUCGGAAUUACUGGGCGUAAAGCGUGCGCAGGCGGUUUUGUAAGCCAGAUGUGAAAUCCCCGAGCUUAACUUGGGAAUUGCGAUGGAGACUGCAAGGCUGGAGUCUGGCAGAGGGGGGUAGAAUUCCACGUGUAGCAGUGAAAUGCGUAGAGAUGUGGAGGAACACCGAUGGCGAAGGCAGCCCCCUGGGUCAAGACUGACGCUCAUGCACGAAAGCGUGGGGAGCAAACAGG
Molecule: ribosomal RNA, 253 nt
Filed under: uncultured bacterium
Lineage: Bacteria
Description: partial 16S ribosomal RNA
Rfam family: Bacterial small subunit ribosomal RNA
Source: RNAcentral